GAUGAACGCUGGCGGCGUGCCUAAUACAUGCAAGUCGAGCGAACGGACGAGAAGCUUGCUUCUCUGAUGUUAGCGGCGGACGGGUGAGUAACACGUGGAUAACCUACCUAUUAGACUGGGAUAACUUCGGGAAACCGGAGCUAAUACCUGAUAAUAUUUUGAACCGCAUGGUUCAAAAGUGAAAGACGGUCUUGCUGUCACUUAUAGAUGGAUCCGCGCUGCAUUAGCUAGUUGGUAAGGUAACGGCUUACCAAGGCAACGAUGCAUAGCCGACCUGAGAGGGUGAUCGGCCACACUGGAACUGAGACACGGUCCAGACUCCUACGGGAGGCAGCAGUAGGGAAUCUUACGCAAUGGGCGAAAGCCUGACGGAGCAACGCCGCGUGAGUGAUGAAGGUCUUCGGAUCGUAAAACUCUGUUAUUAGGGAAGAACAGAUGUGUAAGUAACUGUGCACAUCUUGACGGUACCUAAUCAAAAAGCAACGGCUAACUACGUG
Molecule: ribosomal RNA, 497 nt
Filed under: uncultured bacterium
Lineage: Bacteria
Description: partial 16S ribosomal RNA
Rfam family: Bacterial small subunit ribosomal RNA
Source: RNAcentral